This 463-nucleotide long non-coding RNA is filed under the name Oryza sativa Indica Group (long-grained rice). Its description in RNAcentral is "lncRNA OsZS97_02G018010". Lineage: Eukaryota; Viridiplantae; Streptophyta; Magnoliopsida; Poales; Poaceae. The record is from RNAcentral.
AUGGAGAUGGGAGAGAGCUCGAGAUCAAGUGCCGCCACACGGAGUUUGCCGCUGCCGAUCUUGUCGCCCUCUGCGGGAGGAGCCCGUCGCGGCGGCGAGGAGGAAAGAGAGGCCAGGAGGGAGCCCGUCAUGGCGGCAGGGAGGGACGCGCGUUGGCGGCCGAAGGAGAGGAGGCGUCGGCCGUGGAGGAAGCCGUACGUCCAGAUCCAGUAUGACGAUGACGACUGGGGAGGGAGCUACUUCGAUCCGUGCCGACUGUGCCAACUGAAGAAGGAGAGGAGGUGGAGGCCUGGGAGGAAGUUGCCUCGAUCCGCUGCCUGGAAUCCGGAAGAGAGAAGGGAGAGGCGGCACAGCCGGGGAGGGGAGAGGACCGGCGCUGGCGUUGAAAGAGAUUCCGUCGCCGACGGUGGUUCUUGGUUCGGUGGGAUAUUCCAUGGGAAGAGGGAUGGGUGAGAUAGGCUGA